UGGUGGGGUGACUUGUCUGCUAAAUUGCGAUAACGAACGAGACCUUAACCUGCUAAAUAGCCCGCAUUGCUCCGGCAGUGCGCUGGCUUCUUAGAGGGACUUUCGGCUCAAGCCGAAGGAAGUUUGAGGCAAUAACA
This 137-nucleotide ribosomal RNA is filed under the name uncultured eukaryote. RNAcentral describes it as "partial 18S ribosomal RNA". It matches the Rfam family "Eukaryotic small subunit ribosomal RNA", at positions 1299 to 1458 of the family's 1831-position model. The record is from RNAcentral.